GCUGCCGCCGACAAGGUUUUCCAUCUUUCUUCUUUGUUGUUCAGCCGCCGACAAGGAGGAAAUGGAUCGGAAGUCUGGAUAUUGGUGGUCACUUGACAAAUACGAGCCCAAACCCGAGCCGAGCGAACCCGAGCUAUUAGAGACGAGCCCGAGUUAGGUG
Mangifera indica (mango) is the source of this 160-nucleotide long non-coding RNA. RefSeq lists it as uncharacterized. The transcript has 3 exons. The record is from RefSeq and is a predicted model, not a curated record. Lineage: Eukaryota; Viridiplantae; Streptophyta; Magnoliopsida; Sapindales; Anacardiaceae.